This 91-nucleotide non-coding RNA is filed under the name Sporosarcina sp. HYO08. Its description in RNAcentral is "Bacterial large subunit ribosomal RNA". It matches the Rfam family "Bacterial large subunit ribosomal RNA", at positions 1 to 91 of the family's 2925-position model. The record is from Rfam by way of RNAcentral. Lineage: Bacteria; Bacillati; Bacillota; Bacilli; Caryophanales; Caryophanaceae.
GGUUAAGUUAUAAAGGGCGCACGGCGGAUGCCUUGGCACUAGGAGCCGAUGAAGGACGGCACUAACACCGAUAUGCUUCGGGGAGCUGUAA